AGCGGCGGACGGGUGAGUAACGCGUGAGCAACCUUUCCUUCACAGGGGGAUAACGCAGCGAAAGUUGUGCUAAUACCGCAUGAGACCACGGGACUACAUGGUUCAGGGGUCAAAGGAGCAAUCCGGUGAAGGGUGGGCUCGCGUCUGAUUAGCUAGUUGGCGGGGUAACGGCCCACCAAGGCGACGGUCAGUAGCCGACCUGAGAGGGUGAUCGGCCACACUGGGACUGAGACACGGCCCAGACUCCUACGGGAGGCAGCAGUGGGGAAUAUUGGGCAAUGGGGGAAACCCUGACCCAGCAACGCCGCGUGAGGGAAGAAGGUCUUCGGAUCGUAAACCUCUGUCCUUGGUGAAGAGAAGAAGACGGUAGCCAAGGAGGAAGCCCCGGCUAACUACGUGCCAGCAGCCGCGGUAAUACGUAGGGGGCAAGCGUUGUCCGGAAUGAUUGGGCGUAAAGGGCGCGUAGGCGGCCUGUUAAGUCUGGAGUGAAAGUCCUGCUUUCAAGGUGGGAAUUGCUUUGGAUACUGGCGGGCUGGAGUGCAGGAGAGGUUAGUGGAAUUCCCGGUGUAGCGGUGAAAUGCGUAGAGAUCGGGAGGAACACCAGUGGCGAAGGCGACUAACUGGACUGUAACUGACGCUGAGGCGCGAAAGUGUGGGGAGCAAACAGGAUUAGAUACCCUGGUAGUCCACACG
RNAcentral lists this ribosomal RNA (693 nucleotides) under uncultured bacterium. RNAcentral describes it as "bacterial SSU rRNA". It matches the Rfam family "Bacterial small subunit ribosomal RNA", at positions 94 to 801 of the family's 1533-position model. The record is from RNAcentral.